UCUCAAAGAUUAAGCCAUGCAUGUCUAAGUAUAAGCAAUUAUACAGCGAAACUGCGAAUGGCUCAUUAUAUAAGUUAUCGUUUAUUUGAUAGUGCCUUACUACUUGGAUAACCGUGGUAAUUCUAGAGCUAAUACAUGCUGAAAAUCCCGACUUCCGAAGGGAUGUGUUUAUUAGAUUAAAAACCAAUGCCCUCUGGGCUCCUUGGUGAUUCAUGAUAACUGUUCGAAUCGCAUGGCCUUGCGCCGGCGAUGGUUCAUUCAAAUUUCUUCCCUAUCAACUUUCGAUGUUUGGGUAUUGGCCAAACAUGGUCGCAACGGGUAACGGAGGGUUAGGGCUCGACCCCGGAGAAGGAGCCUGAGAAACGGCUACUACAUCCAAGGAAGGCAGCAGGCGCGCAAAUUACCCAAUCCCGAUCCGGGGAGGUAGUGACAAUAAAUACUGAUACAGGGCUCUUUUGGGUCUUGUAAUUGGAAUGAGUACAAUUUAAAUCCCUUAACGAGGAACAAUUGGAGGGCAAGUCUGGUGCCAGCAGCCGCGGUAAUUCCAGCUCCAAUAGCGUAUAUUAAAGUUGUUGUGGUUAAAAAGCUCGUAGUUGAACCUUGGGCCUGGCUGGCCGGUCCGCCUCACCGCGUGCACUGGUCCGGCCGGGCCUUUCCCUCUGCGGAACCCCAUGCCCUUCACUGGGUGUGGCGGGGAAGCAGGACUUUUACUUUGAAAAAAUUAGAGUGCUUCAGGCAGGCCUAUGCUCGAAUACAUUAGCAUGGAAUAAUGAAAUAGGACGCGCGGUUCUAUUUUGUUGGUUUUCUGGGGACCGCCGUAAUGGUUAAUAAGGAUG
RNAcentral lists this ribosomal RNA (836 nucleotides) under Hevansia novoguineensis. RNAcentral describes it as "SSU rRNA". It matches the Rfam family "Eukaryotic small subunit ribosomal RNA", at positions 35 to 880 of the family's 1831-position model. The record is from RNAcentral. Lineage: Eukaryota; Fungi; Ascomycota; Sordariomycetes; Hypocreales; Cordycipitaceae.